RNAcentral lists this ribosomal RNA (301 nucleotides) under uncultured bacterium. Its description in RNAcentral is "partial 16S ribosomal RNA". It matches the Rfam family "Bacterial small subunit ribosomal RNA", at positions 509 to 807 of the family's 1533-position model. The record is from RNAcentral.
CAGUCGCCGCGGUAAUGCGGAGGAUCCAAGCGUUAUCCGGAUUUAUUGGGUUUAAAGGGUGCGUAGGCGGCCUAUUAAGUCAGGGGUGAAAGACGGUAGCUUAACUAUCGCAGUGCCUUUGAUACUGAUGGGCUUGAAUACACUUGAGGUAGGCGGAAUGUGACAAGUAGCGGUGAAAUGCAUAGAUAUGUCACAGAACACCAAUUGCGAAGGCAGCUUACUAAAGUGUCAUUGACGCUGAGGCACGAAAGCGUGGGGAUCAAACAGGAUUAGAUACCCGCGUAGUCCCUGUCUCUUAUAC